CAGUUUUCGACUGCACGGUGUCACCGGUAUUUGUCCCCGGCUUCAUUAUAGCGAUCGCUCUGGAGCACUGCAUUUCUUUCUCCACUCGAAAGCUCUUCUGUCAUAAUCCUCUGACAAUCCCCCUUGUUCGGGGAGUGAGAUAUUAUCUGGUCAAGUUUUAUACAUUUAACAUUCAUUUUACAUGUGAGUAGAAUAACUAACUGCUUUUCCGUGCUCCUUUCUUUGUAGGAAGAAGCAGAAGUUUUAACCAUCUUCCCAUGGCAUCUGACUUUUUUGAAGAGGAGGACUUUUCAACCACUUGCUGGAAGGGAAAUAGUUUGUUUCAAGACUCUUAUGUUGUUCAUCAGUGCUGUUAACAAACGUGGGGCUUGAGGAUACAUUUGCUGCUUCUCUGCAUUUUUGCUGAAGGUCCGUGCAUUUGAAGGAAGGACCUUGCUGUCUCCCAGCUCCUGUGGGCAUUAGGUUUCAUGAAUGUCUCUUGGGAAGAGGACAGCUCUGUAGAGCCUAAGUUUCAAAAGUAAUUUUAAAGAUUGCAUCCAAGAGAGAAGCAGUGAGAUGCACAGUGGGGAAAAUGAACCCAGCAGUCCAUCCUAUCCUGUACCUGCCUGAAUAUGGGAAGUGACCCAGUAGAAAGCCAGAAUGCAGCUGGGCUUGCAGUAUUUUUAACCAUAUUAAGUCCUGUUCAGAGUUAAUGAUGAGCUCAGUGAGAUGGUCUCAGCAAUGCUGAAGAAGGGAAGGACAGAAUUGGAAGGCAGGAGCUAUUUCAAAGCAGCAUUCUUCAUCUUUCUGUAAUGCCCAAACAUGAAGACUUUAUAAACUUCAUUAGUGUCAUUCCCAAAAUGAAGUAGUGUCCUUGGGCUGGUGGCAACAGCUGGAGUUGCAGAAUUCAUAAAUAAUUCAGAGAAGGAUAAAGGGUCCUGCCAUCAAUGACUGAGCCUCCCUGAAAUCUUAUCAGCUGCUGCCAAGAUGAGAAGGAUAACAGGAAGGAGGAGUGCUUAAGUGGCUUUAAUGACAAUUAAUUUCUACUGUUUAUCAAAUGACAGGUUGUUUUUUCCGCAAAACUUGAUUGUCAUAAGAUGCUUUUGGAAGUAAUUUUUGUAAAAUAAAAUGACAGUUUUUAAGCUGCAAAGAGCUAUUGUAUCUUACUAUUGAAUGUUGUCAUUAUGGUAAAAGGCUGGAAAGUCUAUUUUUGAAGUAAUUUAACUUGCAUACUUCAUUCAUUUAUUUUAAUAUCUGUUGAAUGCCAUGUGAAAAGUUUCUUGCUGGAAUUCUUUUAUUCAAUGGAAUACUUAUUGUUACAAUGCUCAAUUUAUUAAUGUCUGAAUUAUUGUUGCCCUAGCCUCCUGCAAAAAGUUUCUUUUUAGUAAUUCUUAAACAAAUAAGGAAUGAAUGAGGUUUUGUCCAUUUUGUGUUUUGAUCAGCAUAUUUUCCCUUUCACUGAAAGUGUCUUCACUUUUUGGAAUGACACAACAAAAAGAAAAGUGUUUUGGUUUUUGGGUUGUUUUUUUCCCAACAGCACAUGUCUUUUGUGCAAUGAUUUUUUAAUAUAUACACUGCCAAAAUACAAUUACUGGAAGGAGAGAGAGAAGCUGUUGGGAAUGUCAUGUUAUGCCAAAUUAAGAAUUAUUAGCUCUUACUUUCUGUGCAAUCUCUUCGACUAGAACUCGACCUAUUGCGUCUGGCGCGUACUUUGACUCUAGUGGAACUAAUGUGUCCUUGGAGUAGCAUUUCAGAGUAACUUCAGAUUCAUGCUUUUUCACAAGUCUGCUUUAAACUGGUGGGAUUAACUUCAGAGAAGGCGAGAGAUACAGGCUCCUUUGUCAGCAGCUGUGCUGGGUAAAGAGAGAGGCUUCGUGCACGCUUGCUUGCUCAUUCUCUCCCUGCUAGGGAAGCAGACUGAGCUGUUUCCCUGAGCACAUGCAGACUGACUUCAGCCAAAGUGAAUCCUGUUAUCAAAUAUUAGUUAUCAGUGCCCUGGGUCAGUGUGAUGAAAGGACAGGGCAUGCACAGACCAGCUGUGCAGACGUCAUGUCUGGGAAGGGGGCUGUGUUGACAAGAGUUGCUGAGGGCUGGCCCUGCUGUGUCGCCUUUGCAGCAGGUGCAGUUGCAUCUCUUGGAUGUGGUAAAAAUUGGACGUGUUAGAAAGCUGUGCAGAUCUGUCACACAUAAUAUUCACAUUCCGGGGACACCCUGGCUAAUGCAGAAUAAACCUGUGCUCUUUGACUUA
Non-coding RNA from Zonotrichia albicollis (white-throated sparrow), 2227 nucleotides. The record is from RefSeq and is a predicted model, not a curated record. NCBI's taxonomy places the organism in Eukaryota, Metazoa, Chordata, Aves, Passeriformes, Passerellidae.